GCAGUUAGUUAGCAAAUAUCGGAACAAUAUAGUAUCUUAGACCAUUAGCAAUCUUAGUGCCCUUUAGAAACCUGAAGACAAGUCAGGGAUCCUGUACGUUCAGAUGUAAAUAAAUGUUGAGAAAAGGGGAAAAACAAGUGCAGUUUAUUAAGUGAAUGGUGAGCCAAUUAAGUGAGCGGGUUAACCAUUCUGGUCCUUCGAGAAGGUGAUAGCUAGAAACCAGGUCAGAGUGCAUUUGGAGGUACGCGUGUACACCGUGCUCUAACAUUGCACAGAACACGUAAGGGAAGAACCUCAACGCCUCGAGCGCUCACACAAAACGGCUUGGAACGACUGACCGUCUAAAAACAAAAUUGCACGCGGCGUGCUCCUAUGUUGUGAAAAACAUACGCCUUCGAGAAGCGUCAUAACGACGAUGAAUAGUUGACGAUUACUUCGUUCGACGUUCGUGGUAUUUUGCCGAAUAACCUCCAAGGAGUCGUGCUUUUUGUCUCGAAUGGAGUGGACACAUUCACGGAUCAUCAUACAAUGAAAAGUGAAACGACAAGGAAGAAGAACAAAUAAGUUAUGUAUACCCUGGACACGCAGCGAGC
Non-coding RNA from Nomia melanderi (Alkali bee), 593 nucleotides. NCBI's taxonomy places the organism in Eukaryota, Metazoa, Arthropoda, Insecta, Hymenoptera, Halictidae. The record is from RefSeq and is a predicted model, not a curated record.